This 497-nucleotide ribosomal RNA is filed under the name uncultured bacterium. Its description in RNAcentral is "partial 16S ribosomal RNA". It matches the Rfam family "Bacterial small subunit ribosomal RNA", at positions 28 to 507 of the family's 1533-position model. The record is from RNAcentral.
GAUGAACGCUGGCGGCGUGCCUAAUACAUGCAAGUCGAGCGAACAGACGAGGAGCUUGCUCCUCUGACGUUAGCGGCGGACGGGUGAGUAACACGUGGAUAACCUACCUAUAAGACUGGGAUAACUUCGGGAAACCGGAGCUAAUACCGGAUAAUAUAUUGAACCGCAUGGUUCAAUAGUGAAAGACGGUUUUGCUGUCACUUAUAGAUGGAUCCGCGCCGCAUUAGCUAGUUGGUAAGGUAACGGCUUACCAAGGCAACGAUGCGUAGCCGGCCUGAGAGGGUGAUCGGCCGCACUGGAACUGAGACACGGUCCAGACUCCUACGGGAGGCAGCAGUAGGGAAUCUUCCGCAAUGGGCGAAAGCCUGACGGAGCAACACCGCGUGAGUGAUGAAGGUCUUCGGAUCGUAAAACUCUGUUAUUAGGGAAGAACAAAUGUGUAAGUAACUAUGCACGUCUUGACGGUACCUAAUCAGAAAGCCACGGCUAACUACGUG